UUUCCUGGUCUCCUUGGUGAAAUAGUGGACGAAACAUCAUCUGGUCAUAUAGUUGUGUAUUUUGGAACCAAAAUAGGAAAUAUUGUCCUUCCUGUUUCUGCUGUAACAAUGUACGUUAAGAAUAAACAUCCAGAACAUUCAUUCUUCGAUUGGUUAUUUGGAAGAAAAAACAUAAUUGAAAAAAAUCACAGCAAUGAUGACUCUUCCGUCAUUUCUAUUCCAACAUAGAAAAAAUUUCUCCACUUUUUACUCCCUGACUGUCUGUUUCCCAGUCUGUCUGCCUGUCUGUGUGUGUGUCUUCUUCCCUGUGUCUGAAAUAUGUCAAGAAGACAUAUCAUCCCCCCUCUCUCUCUCUCCCUCUUUCUCUCUGUAUUUCUCGCACAUUUUUAAAAAAUACCUCUUAUUUAUAAUCGUCCUCGGUAACUUCAUAAUUCUUCUUAGAUCCCUCCCUUAUUAUUUACUGACAAUGCAGACACAGAUACCGAACCUUUCGCUAUGUUCAACUCCCUGCAUCAGUUUAUUUCACCUCUCACAUCAAUCCCUGACCAACACAUAUGUACCCCUUCUACAACACAAGGACAUAUUCACUAUCCACAAACAUAAACGUCACAUACACUAGACCUAACUAUCUCUCACAGACUUGGGCUGACAAACAUACACUGUUUAAUAUAAA
This 673-nucleotide long non-coding RNA is filed under the name Octopus sinensis (East Asian common octopus). RNAcentral's name for it is "uncharacterized LOC118761053". The record is from RNAcentral. Lineage: Eukaryota; Metazoa; Mollusca; Cephalopoda; Octopoda; Octopodidae.